Molecule: ribosomal RNA, 505 nt
Filed under: uncultured bacterium
Lineage: Bacteria
Description: partial 16S ribosomal RNA
Rfam family: Bacterial small subunit ribosomal RNA
Source: RNAcentral
GACGAACGCUGGCGGCGUGCCUAAUACAUGCAAGUAGAACGCACAGUUUAUACCGUAGCUUGCUACACCAUACACUGUGAGUUGCGAACGGGUGAGUAACGCGUAGGUAACCUGCCUGGUAGCGGGGGAUAACUAUUGGAAACGAUAGCUAAUACCGCAUAAUAUUGAUUAUUGCAUGAUAAUUGACUGAAAGAUGCUAUUGCAUCACUACCAGAUGGACCUGCGUUGUAUUAGCUAGUAGGUGAGGUAACGGCUCACCUAGGCGACGAUACAUAGCCGACCUGAGAGGGUGAUCGGCCACACUGGGACUGAGACACGGCCCAGACUCCUACGGGAGGCAGCAGUAGGGAAUCUUCGGCAAUGGACGAAAGUCUGACCGAGCAACGCCGCGUGAGUGAAGAAGGUUUUCGGAUCGUAAAGCUCUGUUGUAAGAGAAGAACGGGUGUGAGAGUGGAAAGUUCACACUGUGACGGUAUCUUACCAGAAAGGGACGGCUAACUACGUG